This 302-nucleotide long non-coding RNA is filed under the name Fukomys damarensis (Damara mole-rat). Its description in RNAcentral is "lncRNA (ENSFDAG00000031536.1)". Lineage: Eukaryota; Metazoa; Chordata; Mammalia; Rodentia; Bathyergidae. The record is from RNAcentral.
UAUAGUAAUGAUGCUGUGUGUUUGUGUCUCUUUGUUUACACCUUUAGCAUGCACAGAAGAUCCUUGUUGACCAAAGAUGCUUCCAAAGGCAGCUCUCAUUGACCUCCCAGGUUACAGGAGCAGAAAACUAUGCUUCACAAAAAGGUUAAUCAAAGGAUUGUGGUGAUCAUCUCUUAACAGCAAGAUGUUAUGGAGGAGAUUUCAUCUGUAGAGGAGAAGAAAAAGGCAGAGGAAUUCUUUACUUCAAAUGAGAUUAGGGAUGUGUAAAAUAUGUGAAACUGAAAAAUUUUGUAGAAAAGCAC